CGGGUGAGUAACGCGUAAGUAACCUGCCCUCAAGUGGGGAACAACUCCUAGAAAUGGGAGCUAAUACCGCAUGUGGUGGUCAAAAGUAAAGCCGCGCUUGAGGAGGGGCUUGCGUCCGAUUAGCUAGUUGGUGAGGUAACAGCCCACCAAGGCGACGAUCGGUAGCUGGUUUGAGAGGACGACCAGCCACACGGGGACUGAGACACGGUCCCGACUCCUACGGGAGGCAGCAGCCAGGAAUAUUGGGCAAUGGGCGAAAGCCUGACCCAGCGACACCGCGUGGGGGAAGAAGACCCUCGGGUUGUAAACCCCUUUUAUUAGGGACGAAUGACGGUACCUGAUGAAUAAGCUUCGGCAAACUACGUGCCAGCAGCCGCGGUAAUACGUAGGAAGCGAGCGUUAUCCGGAUUUAUUGGGCGUAAAGCGGGCGUAGGUGGCCUUUCAAGUCCGAUGUGAAAUCUCCCGGCUUAACUGGGAGGGUGCAUCGGAUAC
This 492-nucleotide ribosomal RNA is filed under the name uncultured soil bacterium. Its description in RNAcentral is "bacterial SSU rRNA". It matches the Rfam family "Bacterial small subunit ribosomal RNA", at positions 103 to 633 of the family's 1533-position model. The record is from RNAcentral.